This 243-nucleotide ribosomal RNA is filed under the name uncultured bacterium. RNAcentral's name for it is "partial 16S ribosomal RNA". It matches the Rfam family "Bacterial small subunit ribosomal RNA", at positions 57 to 305 of the family's 1533-position model. The record is from RNAcentral.
GCAAGUCGAGCGCGAAAACACUUCGGUGUGAGUAGAGCGGCGGACGGGUGAGUAACGCGUAGGAAUCUACCUGGUAGUGGGGGACAACUUGGGGAAACCCAAGCUAAUACCGCAUACGCCCUAAGGGGGAAAGCGGGGGAUCUUCGGACCUCGCGCUAUUGGAUGAGCCUGCGUCGGAUUAGCUAGUUGGUGGGGUAAGAGCCCACCAAGGCGACGAUCCGUAGCUGGUCUGAGAGGAUGAUC